UGUUAAAUUUUUUUUAUUUGUAUUGUUAAAAAUUGGUGUAGCUAAUAGAACAAUUAGACAUUGACGUAUGGCGUGUCAUAUGUACCUCAUAUUAACAUACAUAGGCUCGUUUUUAACAGUAAAAAUUGAUAAACAUUUUAAUA
Molecule: non-coding RNA, 143 nt
Organism: Gossypium raimondii (Peruvian cotton)
Lineage: Eukaryota; Viridiplantae; Streptophyta; Magnoliopsida; Malvales; Malvaceae
Source: Rfam